Transfer RNA from Corallococcus coralloides DSM 2259, 75 nucleotides. It matches the Rfam family "tRNA". From Rfam's summary of the family: Transfer RNA (tRNA) molecules are approximately 80 nucleotides in length. Their secondary structure includes four short double-helical elements and three loops (D, anti-codon, and T loops). Further hydrogen bonds mediate the characteristic L-shaped molecular structure. tRNAs have two regions of fundamental functional importance: the anti-codon, which is responsible for specific mRNA codon recognition, and the 3' end, to which the tRNAs corresponding amino acid is attached (by aminoacyl-tRNA synthetases). tRNAs cope with the degeneracy of the genetic code in two manners: having more than one tRNA (with a specific anti-codon) for a particular amino acid; and 'wobble' base-pairing, i.e. permitting non-standard base-pairing at the 3rd anti-codon position. Lineage: Bacteria; Pseudomonadati; Myxococcota; Myxococcia; Myxococcales; Myxococcaceae. The record is from Rfam.
CGGGAUGUAGCUCAGCUGGUUGAGAGCGUGCGCCUCAUACGCGCAAGGUCGCUGGUUCGAAUCCAGUCAUCCCGA